GUGGGUAUAGCUCAGUGGUAGAGCACAUGCUUAGCAUGCAUGAGGUCCUGGGUUCAAUCCUCAGUACCUCCU
RNAcentral lists this transfer RNA (72 nucleotides) under Camelus bactrianus (Bactrian camel). It matches the Rfam family "tRNA". From Rfam's summary of the family: Transfer RNA (tRNA) molecules are approximately 80 nucleotides in length. Lineage: Eukaryota; Metazoa; Chordata; Mammalia; Artiodactyla; Camelidae. RNAcentral also lists the same sequence under 2 other names. The record is from Rfam by way of RNAcentral.